GUGGUAACUUCCACAUCACAUAUACAAAAACUGGAACGAUACAAAGAUUAGCAUUAUACUGUGCAAAAUUGACACACAAAUUCGUGAAGAUCUUAUAUUCUUA
Small nuclear RNA from Molossus molossus (Pallas's mastiff bat), 103 nucleotides. NCBI's taxonomy places the organism in Eukaryota, Metazoa, Chordata, Mammalia, Chiroptera, Molossidae. The record is from RefSeq and is a predicted model, not a curated record.